CUUUUGAAGAGAAAGAAAAGUUUAGACGCUUGAAUAGCUACAGUCACAAUGAAAGGUGGGACGCCUACCACAGCAUGACUUUUGCCAAGCGGUGCCAUGUCCGCACCCGGGAUCCGAACCAGCAAACCCCGGGCCUCCGAGAAGCGGAAUGUGCGAACUUAACCACUGUGCCACCGGGCCGGCCCCCAGAUGUAAACUGAUGUUCCCGGUUUGCAGAUGUUGCUACCUUGCAGAGAAAUUAACACACUUGCCCCAAGACCCCUGCAAAUUGUUCCAGCUCCAAGCGUCCUAAAGCUACCUUAAGCUCAUUAGCAUCUUAAAUUCUCCUCCUCUGGGAGGGUCCCAGCCCCCAUUUCCAGAUCAGGGGGUGUACACAGUGGCAUGUUUACCUGCUACACAUGUGCCCUGAAAGAGCACAGUUGUUACAUGGCUGUUACAAAUAGACCUGUUUCCUCUGCUCUCUUGUGGAUGAAGUCUCCAGGGGCACUGAGCCCGGAGAGACACUGCGUUGGGUAACAUCCCAGGUGUUCUCCAUUGCUUGUGCAGGCAAUAAAGCUUUUCUUCACCCA
Molecule: long non-coding RNA, 569 nt
Filed under: Equus caballus (horse)
Lineage: Eukaryota; Metazoa; Chordata; Mammalia; Perissodactyla; Equidae
Description: lncRNA (ENSECAG00000038361.2)
Source: RNAcentral